UAGAGUUUGAUCCUGGCUCAGGAUGAACGCUGGCGGCGUGCUUAACACAUGCAAGUCGAACGGUGAAGCCCAGCUUGCUGGGUGGAUCAGUGGCGAACGGGUGAGUAACACGUGAGCAACCUGCCCCUGACUCUGGGAUAAGCGCUGGAAACGGCGUCUAAUACUGGAUAUGUGACGUGACCGCAUGGUCUGCGUCUGGAAAGAAUUUCGGUUGGGGAUGGGCUCGCGGCCUAUCAGCUUGUUGGUGAGGUAAUGGCUCACCAAGGCGUCGACGGGUAGCCGGCCUGAGAGGGUGACCGGCCACACUGGGACUGAGACACGGCCCAGACUCCUACGGGAGGCAGCAGUGGGGAAUAUUGCACAAUGGGCGCAAGCCUGAUGCAGCAACGCCGCGUGAGGGAUGACGGCCUUCGGGUUGUAAACCUCUUUUAGCAGGGAAGAAGCGAAAGUGACGGUACCUGCAGAAAAAGCGCCGGCUAACUACGUGCCAGCAGCCGCGGUAAUACGUAGGGCGCAAGCGUUAUCCGGAAUUAUUGGGCGUAAAGAGCUCGUAGGCGGUUUGUCGCGUCUGCUGUGAAAUCCCGAGGCUCAACCUCGGGCCUGCAGUGGGUACGGGCAGACUAGAGUGCGGUAGGGGAGAUUGGAAUUCCUGGUGUAGCGGUGGAAUGCGCAGAUAUCAGGAGGAACACCGAUGGCGAAGGCAGAUCUCUGGGCCGUAACUGACGCUGAGGAGCGAAAGGGUGGGGAGCAAACAGGCUUAGAUACCCUGGUAGUCCACCCCGUAAACGUUGGGAACUAGUUGUGGGGUCCAUUCCACGGAUUCCGUGACGCAGCUAACGCAUUAAGUUCCCCGCCUGGGGAGUACGGCCGCAAGGCUAAAACUCAAAGGAAUUGACGGGGACCCGCACAAGCGGCGGAGCAUGCGGAUUAAUUCGAUGCAACGCGAAGAACCUUACCAAGGCUUGACAUAUACGAGAACGGGCCAGAAAUGGUCAACUCUUUGGACACUCGUAAACAGGUGGUGCAUGGUUGUCGUCAGCUCGUGUCGUGAGAUGUUGGGUUAAGUCCCGCAACGAGCGCAACCCUCGUUCUAUGUUGCCAGCACGUAAUGGUGGGAACUCAUGGGAUACUGCCGGGGUCAACUCGGAGGAAGGUGGGGAUGACGUCAAAUCAUCAUGCCCCUUAUGUCUUGGGCUUCACGCAUGCUACAAUGGCCGGUACAAAGGGCUGCAAUACCGCGAGGUGGAGCGAAUCCCAAAAAGCCGGUCCCAGUUCGGAUUGAGGUCUGCAACUCGACCUCAUGAAGUCGGAGUCGCUAGUAAUCGCAGAUCAGCAACGCUGCGGUGAAUACGUUCCCGGGUCUUGUACACACCGCCCGUCAAGUCAUGAAAGUCGGUAACACCUGAAGCCGGUGGCCUAACCUUUUUGGAGGGAGCCGUCGAAGGUGGGAUUGGUAAUUAGGACUAAGUCGUAACAAGGUAACCGUAA
RNAcentral lists this ribosomal RNA (1488 nucleotides) under Microbacterium maritypicum. Its description in RNAcentral is "bacterial SSU rRNA". It matches the Rfam family "Bacterial small subunit ribosomal RNA". The record is from RNAcentral. Lineage: Bacteria; Bacillati; Actinomycetota; Actinomycetes; Micrococcales; Microbacteriaceae.